AAGGAGAACUCUCCAGUACGUUCAUGCCUGGGGGGGAAAGAGAAGUCGGUGAGAAGGCAGCAGAAGACCCUGAGACAUACAUACAAGGUCCAGCAGCUGCAGCAUAGGGUCAGAGGUCAACACCUAUUUCUAGGACACAGACAUUUAGAUGGAUAUGGUCAGCAGCAGCAGAUGUACUGGCUGGGAUAAAAGGACUAUCAAACCUCUUGCUCCGGGCAUAUGCUGAUCACCAGCUGCGGUCAGGAAGAAAUGGCUCCCAGGGUACACAGCCCUGUGCAAUUACCACAGGACAGAGGUCCCAAGGCAGUGGGCAGGAACCCAUCGAGCUCCUACCCUGCACCUUCAGACCCACACCUGGCCCCUGCCAUCUCCUUCUUGCUCUUCCAGAAGUGGUCCUGGGGCAGUGGGAAUCCUCCUGGCACCACUGUCCUGCACAGCCACAAGUCUCCAGCCCACACAUUACCCAAGCCCUCUG
Molecule: long non-coding RNA, 475 nt
Organism: Oxyura jamaicensis (ruddy duck)
Lineage: Eukaryota; Metazoa; Chordata; Aves; Anseriformes; Anatidae
Exons: 4
Source: RefSeq, a predicted model, not a curated record